GAAAAGGUGAAGAUUCACAGGAAGGUGAUCAGGUUCCAAACUUUAGCCUUAAUAGCACCGAGCCCUUUAGCAAUCCAGAGAAUGAUACUCAUACAUUUGAAGAGUUCGCUUUGCCACCCCCUCCCCCUCCUCCUCCUCCUCGUAACUAUUUUACAGGCUACACUCUUCCUCCAGGGCAUCCAUGUAAUAGCUUCACCUUACCUCCCCCACC
This 211-nucleotide unclassified non-coding RNA is filed under the name Hevea brasiliensis (rubber tree). Lineage: Eukaryota; Viridiplantae; Streptophyta; Magnoliopsida; Malpighiales; Euphorbiaceae. The record is from RNAcentral.